Molecule: long non-coding RNA, 27536 nt
Filed under: Arabidopsis lyrata
Lineage: Eukaryota; Viridiplantae; Streptophyta; Magnoliopsida; Brassicales; Brassicaceae
Description: long non-coding RNA (ALYR_LNC001586)
Source: RNAcentral
UCUCGGUUUCCCUUGCACCUUUCUUUGAUUUCCGAGGGUUCUUGUCUUUGGAACCUUUUGGGUCUACCAUGUUUCUUACGUGUUGUAGCCUCUGUAGCAACUUGAUUGUGUUCCUUGUGAACAUCAAUACGUACUGGUGCAUUACAAGCUGGUAUGUACGAUUUUGUUACUCUUUUUGGGUCAUUAUAGGAAUCUUGGCAACUGUUUUAGCUAGCUUUUGCAGAUAUAUAGUCUUUUGGAUCUCUGAUGGAGUCCGAGGAUCUUGCCAUGUGAAGGAUGUUUGAUUCCAUAUAAGUUCUUUGACCAGCUUGUUAGUCUCUCCACCCAGUGUUGGGAAAACGGAUUCAUUGAGAUGACAAUCCUUGUAUCUGGCCUUUGGCUCGAGAUACUUAAUGAUGGUGGGAGAAUCAUUUUUAACGUAUAUUCCCAUCCCCUUUUGAGGUCCCAUCAUUUGCUCUCUGUGGUGGUGCUAUGGGUAAAUAGGUGACACACCCAAAUGUCUUUAGAUGGGAAACGUCUGGCUCAUGACCCGUUAGCAAUUGGGAUGGGGAAUAUCUAUGCUCACUAGAUGGCCGAAUGCGUAUUAGUUCAGCAGCGUCUAAAACUGCAUGUCCCCAAGCUGAGACCGGAAGCUGCGACCUCAUGAGUAAUGGUCGAGCAAUUAGUUGAAUUCGUUUAAUGGGGGAUUCAGCUAAUCCGUUCUGUGUAUGGACAUGUGCCACAGGAUGUUCCACACUUACCCCCAUGGCCAUACAAUAGUCAUUAAAUGUUUGGGAAGUGAAUUCACCAGCAUUAUCUAAACGUAUGGUCUUAAGAGGAAAAUCUGGAAAAUAGGCUCGUAAUCUGAUGAUUUGGGCCAAUAACCUAACAAACGCUUGGUUCCUAGAAGACAAACAUGCGACCAGCGGGUCGAUGCAUCGAUUAAAACCAUGAAGUACCAAAAUGUUCUACAAGGUGGAUGGAUCGGACCACAUAUGUCUCCUUGAAUUCGUUCCAGAAAAUGUAAGGUCUCUUUAGACACUUUGACUGGUGAAGGUCGAGUGAUAAGCUUCCCUUGUGAACAGGCUAUGCAUGUGUGGUGCUUAGGGAAAACUCGGUUUUCUUUAAGGGUGUGCCCUUUAGAACUUUGAAUUAAUUUACGCAUCAUAUUCGAACCGGGCUGGCCAAGCCGGUCAUGCCAUUAGUGAAUUUCUCAGUAAACCCUUUUGUUUACUUUAUUAGCCUUUAUCAUAUUGACCUUGGCAUAGUAAAGAUAUAUGACGCGGGUAUAGUCUGUAAGACCUUCUCAUGGUCUUGGAUGCUCUUAGUAAUAUAUGGGAAUCAUUUGUUCCCUUCACCCUUAGUUUCAAUGUGGAAACUAUUCAAACACAUUUCUUUGAAACUCAACAAGCCCCUUUGAGCUGGGUGAAUAUGAAGCAUCUGAGGAUGCGUGCCCUUGGGAAUAUGGGCCUGCCAUGGGCCUACCCUUAGCCUUCACUAAAUUUAGCUAUACCCGCAAUUUGGCUAAUGAACCAUGUCUUUAGAUAUUUCGUUUAUUGAAUUCUCAUAAUCAUCUAUCUCAUGGUCGAAAUCUUCUUCACCAUCGUGAUGAACUAAAUGAGCUUCUUGAUUCUUUUCAAACUCUCUUGAUAGAGAUCAACGAGAUGCUUAGGUGUCAUGCACGUCUUAGUCCAAUGGUUUCCCCAUUCCUCAUCAGUGGCAAACAAGUUUAUUUGAGUGUUGUGGUUUGGGUAUACCGUGGCCUACCUCGAUUACGACCAAAGUCGGGUCGGUGGCCUUAACCAUAUGAAUGGUUUCCUUGAUCAUAUAAAUUAUAAUUUCCACUUCUACCACGUCCAUUCCAUUUACCAUGAUUGUGGCCAUGAUACUUAUCUCUUUGGACGUGGUUAGACUCUUUAGUCUCUUUAGGCUCUUUAGGCUCUUUAGGCUCUUCAGCCCAACGGGCUUCUGAUAAUGGGGUAGGACCAGGAGGUCUCAUUUCACUAUUCAUAACUCAUUGUUUUGCUCAGCAAGUAGCAAAACAAGAGUUUAGACUUGCAUAUGUGGUAAAAACCUUUUUUUUUUUUUCACGAUAUUGUUGCUGAGGCAAUAUAUUGUUUGUAUGAAAGGUCGAGAAUGCUUUCUUUAGCAAGUCAUUCUCAGUAAUUUCCUCACCACGGAAUCUCAGUAUUGACACUAUUUUAAAUAGUGCUGAGUUAUACUCAUUCAUGGAUUUGAAUUCUUGGAAUCUGAGAUUCUUUCGAUCGAAUCGGGCUUUUGGGUAAUAGCACCGUUUUUUUCUUUCAACUAUGUCCAGAGGUCCAGAGGAUUCUUAAUAGUGAGGUACUGAUUUUGAGACUCUCAUUGAGGUGAUGGCGUAUGUUAGUAAUCGCCUUAUAUCUUUCUCUUCUGGUGACAUUGUUUCCUUCCAUAAUAGAUUCACCAAGCCCUUUUUCCUUUAGGAAAAUCUUAGUGUCCAAAGCCCAUUUUAAAUAAUUGUCACCAGAGGCAUUGAGUGCCGUGUAUUCAUAAUAGUUGAUUUCUGAUAUCUAUAAUAUAUAGAGUUAAAUGAGAACUCAUGUAAUCGGUUAGACCAAGUUAUGCGGUAUUUGAGACCGAGCCAUGCUUGUCUUCAACAAGUGUUUUCUAAACAAUCAUGUUAUAUAUAUAUAUGGAUGAAAUCAACCCUAGAAGAUUGAUCUAGUAUGCAACAACCAAACAAUCGGAUCAUACUAGAUUAGGAUAUUAGGAUUUCGCGGUUAAGUUUUAGGGUUUUAGCAUCCGCGAUUUAUAGUACUAGGGUUUUUGCUAGGAUUUUGGUUUUAUGUAUGGAACUUUCUAUUUAUGGAAACUUUCCUUAUAUGGAACUUUCCUUUUAUGGAAAAUUUCUAUUUCUCAUCUAGAAAGAAAUCCUAAACAAUUAUGUACUUUAGGGUUUUGGAAUAUUUCCUUAUGAAGGGGUUUCCUAUUUUGGUAACUUUCCAUUUUGGGAAACUUGCUAUUUUAGGAAACUUUUUAUUUUGGGAAACUUGCUAUUUUACGAAACUUUCUAUUUCUGUAAACUUUCUUUAUAUGGAACUUUCUAUUUCUGGAAACUUUCCAUUUAUAGGAAGCUUGAUCUUAAACCGUGACUUAGGGUUUAUUAAACCGGUUUAACCUAGGAUUUAGGGUUUCGGUUUACUUUCGGUUUAACCUAGGGUUUAUAUUAAAACAUUCAAUCUAUCAUGCCAUUAAACAUCUUUCCAUUCACUAACUUCUCAAUUAAUUCUCCAAUCAUAAAUCAAAUCACAUGUGCCAAUUUUCAUGCAAAUUUUAUCUUAUCAAACUUUAAUUGGAUCAUGUAUAUAAAGCAUAAUAAAUAAAUAGCACUUAUCUUAAUUGGAGAACUGAAACAGAGACCCGAGAUCUGAUACGGAGAUUGGAAACAGUUACGUCUCUUAGCUGGUUGGGACCUCCUACAAAAUCUCAAUAUAUAUAAUCCUGAUUCCUGAGAAACUCAAAAUUUUGCUCAUAGAAACAUGGCUAUUACAUUAGUAAAAAGAAAAAAAAAUAGGGUUUCUGUAAUAUACUGCAUAAAACAGUUCAGAAUCAAUAACAUAUAAUCCGUGCAUAAAUCGUACAAAAAUAUAGACAGGAUUGAUAAUAAAUAAUCCGUGCAAAAUUUGUGCAAAUCUACAGACAGAAUUGACAACAGAUAAUCUGUGCAAAAUUCGUGCAGAAAUACAGAUAAAAUUGAUAACAUAUAAUCCGUGCAAAAUUCGUGCAAAACUACAGACAGAAUUGACAAUAGAUAAUCUGUGCAAAAUUCGUGCAGAAAUACAGACAAAAUUGAUAACAUAUAAUCCGUGCAAAAUUCGUGCAAAACUACAGACAGAAUAGAUAACAGAUCAUCUGUGCAAAGUUCGUGCAGAAAUACAGACAUGAUUAAUAACAGAUAAUCCGUGCAAAAUUCGUGCAGAAACAAAUAUGAACAGAAAACUUAUCUCGAUAGAGUUUAAAAUUUUGUUUGCAGAGACAGCUAGGGUUUUGGUUUUGGUUUUUGUGAGAGAGAUUUAGGGUUUCGGGAUUUUUUAAUUUUUAGGGUAAGAGGCUAUCGUGCUGAUAACGUGUUGUGAACUGUGUCUUUCAUUAAUAGUAUAAGGGAUAUAUAUACGAGGAUAAUAGCAGGAUACAGAGAAUAAGGUAAAACCCUAAUGGGCCAUGGGCCGGUUAUGGAGUCCAUCCAUAUGGUUUAUAACAAUUAUCAAUUUAUCAUUACUAAUAAAAUGCUUUUAUAGCCGUCUAUUUCAAUCCUCCGUUAUCAUUACUACCAUUACAUCACCCAAGUUAAUUAAGCUAGCAAAUCAAACUAGUAAAACUAAAAGGGUCGUUGACGAAAAGUUAUUUGCUGGUUAAUGCAUACUACACACGGCUAAGGCAACAUUAAGAGGUGUUUUUUUUUUUUAAUGUAGUAUAUAUAGUGAAAAUAUUUGGUUAGCGGGUUGAUUUAACCGGAUAUAGGGUUCAUAUAUGCAAUUGAAAGUACAAUUGUGAAAAAAGAUAAAUAAAAAAGGAAAGAUGGUUUUUUGAUACACAAGCUAAUUAAGUGCAUCGAGAGGAGAGCUAUUGAAAAUGAAUGUUUUGUUUGUUUUUGUACGGUGGAGAGAAGAAUGAAAAGAUGAUCAGGUAAAGAAUGAAACUUGGAAAUCAUGCAAAGCCACACCUCUCCCUUCAACACAUUCUUACGUGUCCUCUUCUCUUCACUCCAUAUCUCCUUUUUAUUACAAAAAUAAAAAUCUUUCAAACCAAUUAUAUUUAUAUGUAUGUUCUCUUAGACUUAUCUCUUAUACCCCUUUUGUAUGCUCUUAGCCUUUGCUCUUUAGUUUUAGAUCAUAUCAAUCGACAUGGCGAAUGUUGACCGUGAUCGGCGUGUGCAUGUAGACCGUACUGACAAACGUGUUCAUCUUCAGCCAUCCUACGAAGAUGAUGUUGGUUUUGGUGGUUAUGGUGCUGGUUCUGAUUUUAAGAGUCGCGGCCCCUCCACUAACCAAGUAUUUUUGUGUUCUCUUUAGUUUUUAAGUCUUAAUUAGGAUUCCUUUAAAAUAUGCAACAAUAAUCUAACUGCUGUUUCCAAAAUAAAUAAAGUUUGAAAUCAGAGUUUUAUACGCCACUUGCAUAUGUUUAUCAUGGUGAUGCAUGCAUGCAUGGAUCAUAUCUAGAGAUUUAUGGUUGGAUUUUUAACAUUUUGAUAUGUUGAUAUUAAUUUUUAAAAGGUCUAAACAAUAAACAACACUUAUUUAAUAAACUCGAUAUAAUCAAUAUAUACAUGCAGAUCUUGGCACUUAUAGCAGGAGUUCCCAUUGGUGGCACACUGCUAACUCUAGCUGGGCUCACUCUAGCCGGCUCGGUGAUCGGCUUGCUAGUCUCCAUACCCCUCUUCCUCCUCUUCAGUCCGGUCAUUGUCCCGGCGGCUCUCACAAUCGGGCUUGCUGUGACGGGAAUCUUGGCUUCUGGGUUGUUUGGGCUGACGGGUCUGAGCUCGGUCUCGUGGGUCCUUAACUACCUCCGUGGGACAAGUGAUACAGUGCCAGAGCAAUUGGACUAUGCUAAGCGGCGUAUGGCUGAUGCGGUAGGCUAUGCUGGUAUGAAGGGAAAAGAGAUGGGCCAGUAUGUGCAAGAUAAGGCUCAUGAGGCCCGUGAGACUGAGUUCACAACUGAGACCCAUGAGCCGGGUAAGGCCAGGAGGCUCAUAAGCUAAUUAUAAAUUUCUCGAGUCUGUUGGAAAGGCGAUCAUGUUAUUUUACUUUUAUGUCCCAGUUUCUUUCCUCUUUAAUUUUAAGAAUAUCUUUGUCAAUAUGUGUACGUUCGUUUUGUCUUGUUCAAAUAAAAAUCGUUGUUAAUGAAAUAAGAAGUGAAAUAAAUAUAUUUUAUUUUCUAAGAUAACCACAAAUUUCUUACCAUUUUCUUUUGUAACGAGUUUUCUUGUAUUAAAUUUAGAAGAAUAUACAAACUAAAGAAUCAAACUUUAAUCAAAGUAGUUGGCUACAAUUAGUUGAAAACCACCCCUGAAUGACGAAAGGACCCCAUUUGGAUAAUAAGCCGAGAAGAGAAAAUGUCUUGUUCGAGGCCUCUCGACGUGAGAGUUAAGCCACUUAGGCAUCAGCCAUGUUUGUUUGAUGUUAUGUUCCCAAAGGUUACUCGAUCUGUUUUGUGGGAUUUCUUGUUCAACAUAAACAACUAGGUCGUUUGUAGAAUGCUUGUGAUUGCUGUUUUGUGCCAAACGAGGGAAGCCCACAUGACAUAGGAUCGUGAAUGCCUAUAAGGUAAAGACGAAAGAUAUUUUUAUUUCGUACCGCUUAUUUACAAAAACCGCAUUUGUUCCGCAUACCGCACGUACCGCAGUUGAACCGUACCGCACUGUCAUACCGCUUUCUUCGCACAACAACAACCGCGGUUACCAUUCGGAAGUCUCUAUAAAGAAAGAUAUUCCUCUCAAAUUUUACUAGUUGCGUUAGAAAAAUAUGAAAUAAAUUAUUCAUCUCACACCACUUUAGUUAGAUGGACAAAUAAGAGAAAUAUAGGAACAUAAAUUUCCACUAAAAAGAGAGGAUCGGAACAGUAAAAAAAAAUAUUAUUUUGAAGGACAGCCAUUACAUCCUUACAGAAUUUUUGAAGCAAGAUGAUGAAAGUAAGAAGGUGAAGUUUCUUGUCGACUUUGCCGAAAGAACAACCAUCUAUCCUGGUAAAUAAAAUGUUUAAUAAUCGCCAGACUGUCUUAAAAUUACAGUGGACUUUGUGCCCAAACCUAAAUAUAUAUCAACUUUGGUAUAUGUUAAGACAGAAAUUCAAAAAAAUGAUUUUUUUCUAUAUAGAUAUUUUUAAAAUUAAAGGCUUUUUUUUUUUUUUGGAUCAAACAGGCUUUUUUUUUUUUUUUUAAAUCUAUUUAUUAUCUAAUAGCAAAUUAAAGAAAAAAAAAAUCCAGUGCUUUUGCAUUGUCAGGUACUUGGGCCUGAUCAUCGCAUACAAGAGAAUGCAGGGUCGGUUCGGUUUCUCUAGCUUAACUUGGAUCUUCGUCAGUUUAAAUUAAGCCUAGGCUUUCGGUUAACCGUUCGGUUAUCAGUUGGGUCCAUUCAGUUUCGGUUAUUUUGGUUUCAAAAUUUAUUAUCCAUUCGGAUAUUUUAAAAUUUUGGUUCGGUUCUAGUUCUUUUGGUUUUAAAAUUUAGUAUUCAUUCGGUUAUUUUACUUAAGAUAUUUUCGGAUAUUUCGGUUAUUUUUGAGUAUUUUCGGAUAUUUUUGGAUAAAUUUCAGUUAUUUUCGAGUAUUCUAACUAUUUUUACAUAUUUUACAAGUAUUUUGAUUAUUUGGUCUAUAAAUAACUAAUUAUUUUGAAAAUAUAAUUGUAUUUCGGAUAUUUCGGUUCGGUAUCGAUUCGAUUACGGUUAUUUCGGUUAUUAAAUUUACCAUCCAUUCGGUUAUUUUCAAAUUUUCGGUUCGGUUUUUUUGCUUCGGUUUCGGUUCGGUACAUUCGGUUCGGUUUAUUUGCCAGGCCUAGUUUAAAUACCAGCUUAUUGGGCCAAAUCGAGACGGCCCAUUAUCUAGCACCGGCUUAUCGGACUUCCUCUACCCGGCGCUGUAAAUUCCAAAUCCCUCCGUUCACGUCUCCAAACUAGCCGUUGCCUUCUCUCUCCGGUCAAAGCGAUGGCCUCAUACGCUACGUUACUGGAGAAAACUCGCGUUGCUCAACCUUCUAUACAAAGAUUCGCAGUAAUUUCCGUCUUCUCCAAGUUACGAUCUGCUCCAGAACAAUUAGGAUCAGAAUCUGAAGCCGGAAGAGAAGCUAUCUCCUUCUGUCUCACUUCUGAAUCUGUCACUGUAGUUGAUCAAUCCGUUCGUGAGCUAUGUCGAUUAGUAUCAGACUCUGUCUUAGACCUCUCUCGUGGUUUGUUAGAACUUCAAUCAGCUCUCGAAGGAUGCGAUUCGAAAUUGGUUUCGCUGUUUGUGAAAGGGUUAGGGUUUUUGAUUCGUAUUGGUUAUGAACGGAAUUCUGGGAAUUGGAAGUUUAAUUCGACGGAGAAUCAUCCGUUUGUUAGGGUAUGUGAUACAUUGAUGCGUUUCGUUGUUCUAUAGGAAUUGUUGGAAUUUAGCUAGUCUUUGAUGUUUCUUGUUGUUGUUGUUGGUUUCAGAUUCUUUCUAGCCGAGCGGAGACACAGACGGAGCUUCUUCAUCAAGUAUCACUCUUUGUGAUGCAUAAUCGGAGAUUGGGAAUGGUGGGAGUAUGUGAAUUCUUGGAGCCGUUUUUGAAUUUCACAAUACUGCGGAUUCCACUUGCAGAUUCGUCGUCAUCGUUGUUUGCAAGGGAGUUGAUUUCAUCAAUGGCUUCCCUUUGUUGUUCAUCCCGCAAAGAAGCACUUCCGAUAUUCAGGUUGCUAUUGCGUUGCCUAAAAUAUAUCCCGGGAAAAAAUCUGGAAGUAAGUUUACAUGAUUAGCAGUGAUUUUGGUGAAUGCAAGUAAUGGGAUGCAAUAUUAGUAUACAGUUCUAAAUUUCUGAAACUGUUCAGGACAAUAGAAAUUUCAGCUGCAUUGUCAAGACUCUAGUGGAUGCAUACACUGUGGUUGUGAGAGACUUGGUUGGAACUGGAUUGGUAUGUGCUAAUUUCAUCAUGCAUUCAUCUUAAACUUUGUGCUCAUUGUCCGAUAUCCAUUUAAUUAUCUAUACUAGCAGGAAGUAACAGAAGUUCAUCUGCUCGGCGUGCAACUGGUAGAUGGUGUACUUUUUCUUUGCGCUUCUCCUCAUGUACAAACAACCGAACAAGAGUCUGUUAUCGAAUCUUCGAAGCAUUUGUUGGCUGUUCAGAAAGACCUUGGAUUACCAUAUUCACGUGAUUUAUCCUUGGUGGUUCUCUCGCUAGUUUUCAUGCUUGCCAAAUCCAGUGUCGAGCAUGAACAACUCUCUAUUCUAAAGUUCCUGCUUUUUCUGCUCAAAUGGAAAACUGAAAGUGGUAUAUUUGUGUCUCCAUCUUUCUAUUCAUUACCCUCUUGCUCGUUUCGUUGUCUAAUAGUGUAGUAUCUUGUUUACUUCCUUCCACUUGGAGUGUCCUGCUAUGACUCAAAAUGUGAUGUGUGUAUUUUCUGUUGACUGAGAAUUGAUUCUUUGCAAUCGUUUUGUAGAAAACUUGUCGGUUAAAGAUGCGGCCGGUUCAAGUGUGGAGUCUCUAUUAUUGUUCCCUACCAUUGCACUGAUGUCUUCUCCUUCUAAAUCAAUCAAAGUAGCAGCAAGUAAGGUUCUUUCCAUCGUAGAAAAUGUCUUGGUAACAGUGUCAAAUGCACCAAAGAUUGAGGUCCACAAAAGUAAAGGAGAUUCACCACUCAGCAGGGUGGGCUCUGUCGUAUUUAGGGUCAUGCAGCAACUCUGGCAUCAGGUUUAUUUCCUGUGGAGAAACCUGCUAUUUUCUUUUGGCAUCUGUCUAUAAUGAGUUACAUAGAUCUACUCAUGGGUUAGGUUAUUUAAAAUAAUUAUUCCUCUGAGGGUUGGUUGGAGAUAAACAUGUUUAUUUUAAUUUAUGUCCAUUAACUCCAUAUCAAAGUAUUACACAAAAGAAACUCGGAAUCAAAUUGCUCACUGACUCUUUGAAUGUUCUUUUUCCAGAAUGAUUACGCACCUUCCACGCCCUCCUUCCUCAGAGUGGCUUACAUCAAUGGAAGUGAAAAACAGGAAACUUAUCCAGGACCAGUGACUUGGAAUUCACUACUUAGGGAACAUGCUGAACGGUUUUGGGAUAGAAAAAAGUUGUCUGCGUCGUUUUGUCUUUCACAAGAGAUACCUAUUUUACUUGGUGCUGUUGCUGGUGUCAUGGUGAUGCACCCGUCCCUAGGAGCUGAUGCUGUUAGUUCUUUGACUAUUAUUGGUGGCAUCGAUCCUAAGAUGUGUGUCCCGCUGUUGCUAGCUGUUCUAUAUUACAGCAACUUGUUAUCUCGAACUAACGUCCCUUGUCAGAGUCUAUUGGUGAGACUACUCUCAUUCAUUAUAUGUAUCUUCAAAUCCAAGUGCUUGUCUCUUCUAUUUCUUUUUCCCUUAGUCUAGUUCCCAUUAUAUUUCUUUGAUGUGCAGUCAAAACUUCUGGGGUUGCUCCCAUCACUAGCUGCACAACAGGUGAUGAUUCCACUUGUAGUUCAGACUAUUACUCCAAUGCUACACAAGGAUGCGAAAGGGUCAGUACACCUUUUUCUGAUCAUUGCUUGUGUACUGUAUUUUUUUAAUCGUGUUUAUAAUAGUUGAUUCUGGGUUGAAACCCUUACCGGGUGCUUGCAAAAAUCAAUUUUCACCUUUGCUAUGUGGUAAACGAGUAGUCUUUGCAAACCCCUAUAAGUGGUUCCAUUAACUUUUCAGAUGCUGGGCUUAUGAUAUAUGAUAAAAGGUUGAUUUGGAAGCCAAAAAAUUAGUAUGUGAUGUUUCAUGCUUUAAACUACAUUUACCAAUCUUGUUGAAUUGGGUUUCUGUGCUCUACCUUGUUUCCAUUUCUGUACUGCCAUAAAAUGGAGUUGACAUGAGUAGCUCUGAUGAUGGUUUAUUUUAGUCUGUUGUAUGCUACAGCAAUUAGAUUACUUUGCCAGACCUGGGUAGUCAAUGACCGUGCCUUUUCAAGUUUGCAAGUAAGCUAUUCUUAUCACUGAAAUUUUGUUCGACAUUGAUAUUGUCAGCUUGCUCAUGCUUAUUUUUUAAUAUUCAGGAGGUGUUACGCCCAAAAGGAUUUAUAGACUAUAUUUCAGAGAGACAUAUCUGCAUUAGUAUGGCUGCUUCCAUUCACGAUGUAUGCAAGAGACACCCUGAUAGGGGGGUAGACCUAAUCUUGUCCGUUCAGGUAUAGUUUCUCAAGUAGUGUUUGCUAUUUGCUGAUUUGGCUGUAUAUCGAAACUUUGGGAGUGCCUUCAAAAUUUUCCACUGGAUUCAUACUUUGAUAGGCCUGUAUAGAAAACCAAGACUAUCCAGUUCGAGCACUUGGUUUUCAGAGUCUUUCCCAUCUGUGUGAAGCCGAUGUCAUUGGUACUCUCUUAGUACUUACUUGUGUUAGUUAAUUCCUUUCUAUUUUACUCAUAUUUUAUCUAAUAAUUUUACUUUGUCUAUCCAGAUUUCUAUACUGCAUGGGGUGUCAUUAAGAAACAUGCUCAACACAUCAAACUGGAUCCUCUCCUUGCUUAUAGGUUAGCAGAGCUAACAUCCCAAAUCAUAUUUAUAGGCACAGUUGAGGUGUCUAAAGUGGUGCAUGGAUCUUUUAGCAUUACUAUUUAUUUGAGGGGCCUGAAAGUAUAUUUGAUGUAUAACUAGCAUUAUUUUGGUGAAUAUGUUGCAGUGUAUGCCUUCUUUUAAAGUGGGGUGCAAUGGAUGCCGAAGCAUAUCCUGAAGAUGCAGAAAACGUUUUGAACAUUUUGUGGGAAAUUGGGAGCUCUAUGCAGAUGCCUCAUGAUUCCCAAUGGACAAAGGCAAGAGUCUCUGCCAUAGUGGCCCUGGGUCAAUAUGAGGUAAGUAUUGGAUUUCAGUCUCUUGUAUGUCCUCUUUUAGGUGUGUUCCAGACCGUCUUUGGUUCUAAACUAUUAAUAUCAACACUUGUAUCUAAUUAUGAUUCAUUUUUUUUCAGGUAUCAUUUAUGGAGAAAAAGUUUUCUGAUUUCAACAAGAAUUGUACAUAUUUGCUCUUCUCGGAGAUAAAUGCGGAAAUUUUGAAUGCUUUAGAAGACCUUUCAAUCAAGAUCAUGAUUCACGAGCACAGGUAUAGAGCUUGUAAUCUACUAAACUUUUUCUGGUUUAGAUUCUCAUCAGCAGCAUACUAAACUACUUCUCUUUCUGACCUUUCAGCGUCCGGCGUAGAUAUGUUAGAGAGAAGAAAGUUCCUGGUAGUAAGAUUGAAAAGCUGCUUGAUGUGAUACCUCAGGUCAUCUUCCCUGCAGGUGUAGUUUGACUUUCAGCUAAAAUAGUCCUUAAGUUGUUAGCAUAAUUAGUGAGAAAUGCAAGUGAGUCUGUUGGAAUAAAUAAAUAAAACCUUGUGAUGGCUAAAAAUUUUUGACUUGUGUUUUUUUUUCUUUGCCUAAGAACUAACUUAACUUGUUUAUAAUUGUCAGUUCUUGCUGUGCUUUGCAACUUGUGAUUCUUAUAAGACAAUGUCAAAGUAUUCAGUUGCAUUAUGAAUUACUCAGUUCUAUUCGUUUUGUCAUUACGGAUAGACCUUUUCGCUAAAGAUUCCAAAUAAUCAGUUAUGUAAAAUUCUUUGUACUCCAUAGAAACUAAGUGCAGCAUCAUUUGACUCACAGGGAAAGAAAUAAAGACUGGAGAACUACCUGGUGCGGCAUUACUAUGUCUAUCUUAUAACCCCAGAGAUGUGAAGUUUGGGUCAUCAAGAGUAAGUAUUGUAAUUUUAACUUUCUGCUAGGAGAUUUUGUAUACUUCUGUAUACUGACUUUCAUACUCUUAAUCGCAGAGCUUUCGUGAUGGUCAUGGUCAAUACGAGGAGGCAUUUAGAGUAGUAGUCAAAUCUCUCCAGCUCUCAAGAAAUAUUUCCCUUGCUCUUAUUUCCUUGCAAUCACUGAAAGCAUUUAUGCGGCGUUGGAUGAGAGCUAAUAUCUUGUCCAUUGAUGCAACGACUAAAGAAUUAUCAUCGGAUAAAAUUUCUAAAGCUGCAAACAACAUCAUGAAGGUUUGAGAUAGUGUCUUUCUGUUGCAGCUUAAUUCGAACUUUUCAUUUUAAGUGUUCAAACCUUAGUUGAGAUUCUGUUGUGUUAUUCAUGUAGAGUCUGGUACAUAUGGCUGAAGAAGCUCUUCCCAGGUGUGCAGAAAACAUAGCACUGGCACUGGGUGCACUAUGUGCAGUAAGAUUUCAUAGAAAUGUUCCUCCAUAUCUAUAGUGGUCAAAUGUCUCAAUAUAUAUUUUUAAUCUGUUUGUUUUUUUCAGGCUUUGCCAGCUGCUGCUCAUAAUACUAAAGCGACUGCAUCAAAAUUUCUGUUGAGUUGGUUGUUGGAGCAUGAGCAUGAACACCGUCAGUGGACGGCUGGUAUUUCUCUUGGAUUGAUUUCGUCGUCCCUACAUGUGACUGACCACAAGCAGAAAUUUCAGAAUAUAUCUGGGCUUCUUGAGGUACUUCCUGUACCUAUGAGUUAAUUGCGGAAUUAUUACAGUGCUAACUUUUUUAUGAAAACGCAUACUUUGUAAUAAAUUUGAAAAGUAAGCAUGCAGAUAAAAAAAAGUAUAUAUCAUGUCUUUCAGGUUUUGUGUAGCAGUAAAAGCACUCUUGUAAAAGGAGCCUGUGGGGUUGGAUUGGGUUUUUCAUGCCAAGAUCUGCUCACUCGGACUGAAGCCUCUGCGAGCUCUGAUAUAGACAGUGACUCCUACAGGAACCAAGAAGAACGGCUCUUAGGAAGGAUAGUGAGGUUACUAUCUUCAAUAUUACAUCGUUUCCUGCACACUCCGUGUGAUAUCCUAGAAAGCUUGUCUGCAUUGUUCCCACCUGGAAAGGAAGACAACGUUAUAGGUUUACCUCAGCUGUUGGAUGAUAGUUCUGAUGAUUUUGAUGAUGAUACAUGGGGUAUUGCUGGACUCAUUAUAGGUUUGGGGAUGUCAGUUGGUGCAAUAUACAGAGCUGGGAAGAAAGACGCUGUUGUAAAGAUUAAAAACCUGAUUGUAUCGUGGAUCCCAUAUGCAGAUUCUCUUAAGCAAACUCCGGGUUCUAAUAGUAAGGUAUCAGUGAGACUGUUUUCAGUUGGUUCCUGCCUUGCACUCCCAAUUGUGAUCACUUUCUGCCAAAAAGUUGAACUGUUUGAUGCACAUGAGGUGGAUCAUCUAAUCGGUUGUUUCAAGGACCUUAUUUCCGAGUUGCUGAUUGUUAGAAAGUCUGGUGCUUUACGUAAGAGGUUGUUGAUGGCUUCCUGUAUUGGGGCGGGAGACCUCCUUGGUUCUGUUCUGAAUGAAGGUAUCCACCCUGUUAAGAUUGAGUCUGUAAAAGGGUUACUAGAACUAUUCAAGACAUGUUACUCUGGACUUUACCCACCGGUUGCUCACUUUGGAGGCAUGCUCGGAGUUGUUAAUGUUUUAGGAGCAGGUGCUGGGAAUUUGGUGUAUUUCCAUCCUUUACCCCGUGCUCCUCCAGCCAGUUCUGAGGAAAACGUAAGUUCUCUGCUCUAUAUUUCUCAAGAUCAUUGCUGAAUUAUUCCCAUUUAGAUAAAUGUGUAUGGGUCCCUAACAUUCAUUUAUUUCGCUUCAGGAAAUAUCUUAUGUGUCAGGUCCUUUGCUUUCAAACCCAUAUUUUACUCAGCAGUUGACGCCAGUUGUGCAAGAAAUAUUUCUUAUCGCACAAAAUACCAAGGAUCGCCAGCUCCAACAUUAUGCUGCAUGGGCAAUAUCAAUUCUUAGAAAUUACAUGCGGUCCGGGGAAGCGUCAAGUCUCAGCAAUGAAAACCAAUCUGAUGACUCUCACCGUAAUUCCAUCUCUCACAAUGUUCCUGAACAUACCAUGGUCAUGAAACUUGCUCAAGGCCUGACAAAUCCAAGUUUUCCUUUGGUAUGUCUUCUUAAAGUCUUUCUUAUAGUUCUAAGCCUUUUCUAAUCUUUCAAGGUUGGAACAAAAGAAAACUUGAAAUUGUUCAAUUUUUCUAUUCCAUUAUAUUGUUGCUACAGUAAAGUAGAAGGUGAUUUAGUUUGAAAAUAGAUCACAAUCUGUUCUCAUACUUAUUAAUCUUUGUUGAAUUUUAGGCGGGUAGCCCUCUGAAUAUUGGCACAAUGGAAAGUGCUUUGCGGUGUUUGUCUCAUGCUCCGAGAUUGCCAAACUUGGACUGGGGAGCAACAAUAAGACGAUUAAUGAAACAAGAGACCCAGACCGAUGUAUCGCAAUCAGGCGAUGUUCCCAAGGAAAGAACUCUUAGGGAAGAGUGCUUCAAAUUUUCAUUAGCCCACGCAAGCGAAUUUGAUGAACUUCUAGCUUUUCUGGACGAGUUGUCUGAACUAGCCAGAUUCAAGGCGCUAGAGCAGAGUCUCCAGUCAUGCCUGCUUUGUCAUCUAGGGGAUUUAAUGAGAAUAUUCUCAGGUUCAAGAAUGAAUAAAUUAUUUGACGAUGUCUCUUGCUUUGUAAUCUCACUAUCAUCAGACCAAGUAUAUAGCUGUGAACAGAAGAGCUCAUUGAGGGUCUCUUUUUGGAAGGGUCUGAGUCAGUGUCUUGAAGAAACUUCGCUUGAAUCUUCAGAAUACAUCACAAAGAUUGAAAAAUGUAUAGAGUUGCUUUUUGCUGUCUUACCAGUAGCAUCACAAUCUCCUGGAGCAGAUCAGAUGGGUUCGGUGCACGAGUGGUCAGAGGCAGUUAGAUGUUUGCAGAAGUCGCCCCGGGAUUGGUUAUACAAAUUUCUUCAGGUAUGUAGCAUCCACUUCCUGCAUCUCUUGUUUACCAGUUUGUAAGGUAUGUAUCAUCUUUGUGGAUAUCUCGCCAUUUAACUGAGAUUUUUCUCAUAUGCAGGUUUCAAAUCUUGAACCUCGAAACAGAGAGACGGACUUCAAAGGUGAUCUAAAGAAGAUCCAGGCAAAAGCCAAGCUAGCAAGACUUGGCUCAAUUCCAUUUUCCGAGUUAGGAAAAUUAAAGGCUAUUAUAUUAAAUUGUGAACAGUCAGGUCAGUUACUAUCCUCUGUUUUUAUUAAGCUAGUACAAUCAAAGAUCAUGAUACAAUUAAAGUUCUCGUCUUUGUUAGAUAUCUGGGACGUGUUGAUUGAGAUAGUAGCGGCUUUGCAUCACGCCGAAGGAGGAAUCAAAAGACAGUGGCUCAUUGAUGCAGUUGAAAUCAGCUGCAUUUCUAGCCAUCCUUCCACUGUAAGCCUCAAUGUCAAUAUCUUAUCCAUCAAAAGAGAUUAUUCUUUUUUGUGUUGAAAUCGGUUAUUCUCCUUCUACAGGCCAUUAUCUUCGUCGGCCUUCUUUCUAGUAUCUGCUGCGAAUACAUGCCCUUUCUCACUUUAGACCGAUCCACGGUGCUGUGCGAUAUGUCUGUUACCGUAACUUCUCUCCUGUCUGAUCCCAUCUAUGAAGUGGUCACAGAGCCUGUCAUCUCGUUUCUAUGGACUUCAUUGGAACGUAUUUACAGUUUUGCAACUGAAUCUGACGCUAAUGCAAGGAUAAGCUCACAGCAAAUUGCGCAGAGCGAGAGAGAUAGAGCAUCAAUGCUUAUGAAAGUGAUGCAUUACAUUUGUGUAGCCUUCAGAGAUCAUUUGCCUCUUGAGAAACAGCUUAGACUUGCUUCUAUGGACAUCCCUUGAUUCCUUUUAAACUAUUGUAUAAUUUUUAUAUUUAGGUGACUAUAAUUUCAGAAUAUUUUGUUGUAUUUUUAGUGGGAUUUUCAUUUCCCACAUUGUUGUAUUUUUGAAAGAUAUAUAGUAAGAGUGAAUAUUUAUGGUUUAAUACAAAUUUCAUGUAACGAUAAUGAGCUGCUUUUUUUUAUUCUUAUGGUCAACAUAACGAAUAAGAUCUUAAUAUUUUCCGUAUUUAUAAUACUAACAUUUAAUUUUUGUUAAUGCUACUAAGCAAAUAAUUUUCGCUGCUUAUUUUCAAACAAAUUAUGAUCAUUUAAAAAAAAAAAUAUGGAAUAAUAAAUCUUUUUCAUCAUCGCAAUCACAAGCAUAGCCAAUAAUAACCAAUAAGAAUCAUAAGAUAGUGUUGGAUUAAAAACACUAUCCUCUUGCUCGCUGACAUGUCCAUCUUCCACAACGACAAGAUCUUCCAUUGACACGUGGCAUAGCCACAACCUCUAUGUAUCUCAUGAACGUGAAUCUAGUUUGUGAAAAUCUAAAAUUUACCAAUCAAGACUCGCUGACGUGUCCAUCAGCUAAUCUUCCCACAAAACGAACACUCUACUAUAAAUUACGAACAUCUCAUAUCAUCUAAACACACUAAUCUCUUAUUUCUUUGUGUUUUUGUUUGGAGUUUAAAAAAAAAAAGAAUGGCAACUUCAGCAAUCCAACACUCCUCUUUCGCCGGCCAAACGGCCCUGAAGCCAUCCAACGAUCUCAUUCGUAAGGUCGGAGCCUCCAACGGUGGAGGCCGUGUCGUCAUGCGACGUACCGUCAAGUCUACUCCUCAGAGCAUCUGGUUCCAACGCCUAUCUCUCUCUGUUUUCCCUUAAUAUUUAUUCUUCUGAAAAUUGAGAUUUUCCAUUUAAAUUUUAAAAAGUAAAAAUAGUACAAAUGCCUCUGGUUCAAAUUCGGAUUUUGGUUCGGUUUCAAAAUGGUUUUUGGUUUUAUAAAAUAUUAACCAAUGAAAACCUUGUUAAUCAAGAAGACAUUUAACACUAACUAAGUCAUAGUUAAGGGUUAAAUGUAGGUUACUUGGGUUACUCGGGUUACAGGUUACUUGGGUUACUCGGGUUACAGGUUACUUGGGUUACUCGGAUUACAAGUCUGAAUGAGGGUGCUAUUGGUCUUUGUGCACAACCCAUAAACCCUAGAGAGUGUGUUCUCAUAUAAAAGCACUUGUGUGCCUCCACUUUGUAAUACAACGUUUAUCUUUUAAUAACAACACUUUUCCUCUCUACUCUUAGUCAUGUUUCUCUCUAUUCUUCCCACUUGAUUCUUAAAUUAUUUAUAUGGUAUCAGAGCAAUCUUACGAUUCUUAACACUUUUCCUCUCUUUAAUCUUGCGUUACGGUUCGAUUUCUCACUAAAAGGUUGAAUCUUGGUUGUACGGAAGCGAGCUGUUCUUCGUUUCUGGGUUUUGUUUGAAGUUUUCUUGAGUUGAAGCUUUCUGAAUCUUUGGUAAAGCGUUUCUAGUGAAGAGUUUUGGGAGUUUUUCUUUGAAGUUACUCAAAGGUCUCUAAGCGAAUCAAAACGGUCUCGUGGCUAAAGGUCGAAGCUUUCUCUCGGGAUGGCACUGGUGGUUCAAGACGCAAGCAAAGCCUACAAGGAGCUGAAGUUCUCGGUUGGUUUGAAUGGAAACAACUAUCUCUUAUGGAGAAGAAUGACUACAAAUGUUUUGGGUGGAAGAAAGCUCACGAAGCAUAUUGAGUCGACUUAUGAAGAGAUGAAGGAGAAAGACGGAAGCUUGGAUAAGGAUGCUUGGGUACAAGAAGACUUGAACGUGUUGAGUGCGUUACAUGGCUCUCCUGAAGCUUCAAUCUUGGAAGGUUACUCAUAUUGCGAGACAACCAAAGAGCUUUGGGAUACGCUUGCUAGUGUCUUUGUCAACGAAUCGAAUCUCACUCGUGUGUAUGAGAUUAAGCGAGCUCUUGGAAAUCUAAGUCAAGAAGAGAGUGACUUCAACACUCAUUUCGGAAAGUACAGGUCUCUAGUUGCUGAACUAGAGAUGCUUAGGCCAUUCACUACUGAAGCACAAACACUCAAGGAUCGCCGAGAGCAAGACCGGGUGUUUGGGUUGUUAAUGACGCUUAAUCCGAACUAUAAAGAGGUGAUACAACACAUUCUGAGGGAUGACAAGGUCCCCACCUUGGAACAAGUUUGUGCCAAGAUACAAAAAGAGUUCGGGUCACAAGGGCUAUUCGGCACUAAAGGCGAGAACCUCCCAACGGCAAACAAGGCAUUGUUUGUGAAACAUGAAGACAAGAAGACUUUGGUGUGUGACCAUUGCAAUAGGAAUGGCCAUAACAAAGACAAAUGUUGGAUUUUACACCCUCAUUUGAAGCCGGAGAAGUUCAAGAAGCUCAAAUCAAAGGCAAAUGUGGCAAAUGCAAGCGACGGUGGACAAGAGAAUGAAGAAAGGGCGAUUGUGCAAUACGGUCAAGAGAAGGCGAUGCAAGCCAUGAUUCAAGAUAAGGGCUGUGGAUUAUCUUCUCAAAGUCAAGAAACCAUUGUGAGGAACAAGGCGAACCUCGAAGCUCUCAUUCACUCUAUUGCAUCUAAAUUCAGUCCCGGCGGUACCUCUCUCUUUACUUCUAAUUCUUAUGAUUCAAAGUCAUUAGUAUUAGACUCAGGAGCUUCUCACCAUAUGAUAAGUAACCCUAAGUUGUUAGAGAACAUUAAACCGGCGUUAGGGAGUGUUAAAGUUGCGAAUGGUCAUAAUGUGCCGAUUGAAGGAAUAGGUAGUAUAAACCUAUUUAGUAAACGGUCUAGUGCCUUUUAUAUGCCUAAGUUUACUUCGAAUUUGCUCUCGGUUAAGAAGACUACUAGAGAUUUAAAUUGCCUUGCUACUUUCAGUCCUAAUGAUGUGAAAUUGCAGGAUAUUAAGAGUGGUAAUGUGUUCGGACAUAUUAACUUCAUGUUGUCUCAUAAACCGAAUACCAACCCGUAUCCUUAAUGAUCAAUCUCCUUUUCAAGUUUUGAAUAACCAAAGUCCUAACAUUGAUCAUUUAAAAGUAUUUGGAAGUCUUUGUUUUGUAUUUGUCCCAGGUGACCUGAGAAACAAGCUAGAGCCCAAGAGUACGAAAUGUGUAUUUAUAGGAUACUCAACGACUCAGAGAGGUUACAAGUGCUUCGAUCCGGUCAACAAUAGGUAUCAUGUAUCUAGGGAUGUCAAAUUCAUGGAAGACAAGGCCUAUUUUGGAGAAAAGAGUUGGGAAAGUGUGAAAGAUUUGCCUAAUUCAACUUUAGAUCGAGCUAAGAGUCUUCAACAUAUUCUAGAACAUUUGGGUAAUGUUAGUCCGUCACAAGAACGUGUGGAAGCUACACCAAAUGCGGAUACCAAUGAAGCUCAAGAGAGUGAUGAAAAUACACCACAAGAGCCUUUGGAUAUCCAACAAGAGAGUGGUAGAGAAGAAGGUUCAAGUGAAGAAGUGGUAGAGAAAGAUCCGUCUAGUGAAGGUGAAAUUAUUGAAUCAUCAAGCGAAGAUGAGACUUAUCAAGCUCCAAAAGUCACACAAGAUCCGGUCUACACACGGGAAAAUCCAAGGAAGAGUACAAGAGAGAAGAAAUCUCCUUCUGAAUGGAAGAAAGCUAGAAUCCCCUACUACAAUGCUCAAGCCGUGGCUCAUCCAAUACAAGAAACGUGUUCGAUUGACCUUCUUCCUGAAGAACAUAGAGCUUUUAUCAGUAAGCUAGAUGUGGAAUUCAUACCACAAAGCUAUGAAGAAGCCAAGGAAAGAAAGGAAUGGACUAAUGCUGUGGAUGAUGAGGUUCAUGCUAUGGUUAGGAAUCAUACUUGGGAUGAAGAAGAGCUUCCACCAGGGAAGAAGUGUGUGAGUUCAAAAUGGGUUUUCACCAUAAAGUAUAAGAGUGAUGGUGAAAUUGAGAGAUAUAAGGCUAGGCUAGUGGCAAGAGGGUUUACUCAGACAUAUGGUGAAGACUAUAGAGAAACUUUUGCGCCAAUAGCUAAGCAACACACAGUCAAGGUUGUUCUUUCUCUAGCGGUGAAUAUGGAUUGGGAAUUGUGGCAGAUGGAUGUCAAGAACGCUUUUCUUCAGGGGGAGUUAGAAGAAGAAGUGUAUAUGACACCACCUCCGGGUUUAGAGGAUACAGUGGCUCCAGGGAAGGUGUUAAGACUUCGAAAAGCUAUCUAUGGCCUCAAACAAUCCCCAAGAGCUUGGUAUCACAAGUUGAGUUCAACCUUGCUUAGAGAAGGCUUCAAAAGGUCACAUUCUGAUCACACUUUGUUCACUAAACAGGAUAAUCAAGGAAUUGUAGUAGUUUUGAUCUAUGUUGAUGACUUGAUUAUCUCUGGAAGUAACAAAGCAGGUAUCCAAGCUACCAAGUCUUCUUUACACUCUGCUUUUGAUAUUAAAGAUUUGGGUGUUUUGAAGUAUUUCUUAGGGAUUGAGGUGUGUAGAUCCAAGGAGGGACUGUUUCUCUCACAAAGGAAAUACGCUCUUGAUCUUCUAAAACUUACAGGAAAGCUUGGAGCUAAACCAGUAGAUACACCACUCGAGCAAGGGUACAAGGUCAAUCGAAAGGGGGAGAAAGAUGACACUCCUUAUCAUUGCCCCGAACAAUACCGAAGACUCGUGGGUAAGCUUAUCUACUUGAUAUAUACUCGACCUGAUUUAUCUUUUGUUGUGAAUCAGGUAGCUCAACACAUGCAAGCUCCCACUGUUUAUCAUUGGAGUUUGGUGGAGAGAAUUUUGAGAUAUAUCAAAGGAAGUCCCGGCAAAGGCAUAUGGAUGGGAAGAAACUCUAGCACAGAGAUUGUUGGAUAUUGCGAUGCAGAUUACAAUGGGGAUCGCAACACAAGACAAUCAACAACUGGUUUUUGUACAUUCAUUGGUGGGAAUAUUGUGACUUGGAAGUCGAAGAAGCAGAAAGUCGUCUCUUGUUCGAGUGCUGAAGCAGAGUAUAGAGCUAUGAAGAAACUCACAAACGAGUUAACAUGGCUAAAGGCUUUGUUAAAGGACUUUGGGAUCGAGCAGAAGACUCCAAUCACUUUUCAUAGUGACAAUCAAGCGGCCAUCCACAUUGCUACCAAUCCCGUGUUCCACGAGAGGACCAAGCACAUAGAGACGGAUUGCCACAAGACAAGAGAGAAGAUAGAAGAUGGUACGAUUCUCCCUUGUUACACUAAGAGUUCGGACCAAUUGGCCGAUAUCUUUACCAAGGCAGCAAGUAACCAAGUUUGCCAAUUUAUUCAUGGUAAACUUGGUCUUGUAGACCUGACACAUCCUUGAAAAAUAUUCUCCAACUUGUAGGGAUAAUACUCUUUUUCCCUAAGCUUGGUUUUGUCCCACGUGGUUUUCCAAACUUAGGUUUUUAAUGAGGUUAUUCAUACAAGUGCCAAGUUUAUACACAAUUGGGCAUUGUGGUAUAAACUUGAGGGGGAGUGUUAAUCAAGAAGACAUUUAACACUAACUAAGUCAUAGUUAAGGGUUAAAUGUAGGUUACUUGGGUUACUCGGGUUACAGGUUACUUGGGUUACUCGGGUUACAGGUUACUUGGGUUACUCGGGUUACAAGUCUGAAUGAGGGUGCUAUUGGUCUUUGUGCACAACCCAUAAACCCUAGAGAAUGUGUUCUCAUAUAAAAGCACUUGUGUGCCUCCACUUUGUAAUACAACGUUUAUCUUUUAAUAACAACACUUUUCCUCUCUACUCUUAGUCAUGUUUCUCUCUAUUCUUCCCACUUGAUUCUUAAAUUAUUUAUAAACCUAAUCUACUAUCGAGCGAUUUCGGUUCAAGAUUAAUUUCUCAUCAAAUACGUUAACGACCCAUCAGUUUUUUGUUUCCUCAUAUUUAGUAUAGCUAAUCAGCAAACCAUCUAAUUCAGUAUCAAACAAAAAAAACUUGUGACAGGUACGGACCAGACCGUCCCAAAUACCUAGGACCAUUCUCGGAAAACACACCAUCAUACCUAACCGGAGAAUACCCUGGAGACUACGGCUGGGACACCGCCGGUCUGUCAGCCGAUCCAGAAACAUUCGCAAAGAACCGUGAGCUUGAAGUAAUCCACAGUAGAUGGGCAAUGUUGGGUGCAUUAGGCUGCACAUUCCCAGAAAUUCUCUCCAAAAACGGAGUCAAAUUUGGUGAAGCCGUGUGGUUCAAGGCAGGAUCACAGAUCUUCUCAGAAGGAGGACUUGAUUACCUCGGAAACCCUAACUUGAUCCACGCGCAAAGCAUAUUAGCUAUAUGGGCUUGUCAAGUUGUGCUAAUGGGAUUCAUUGAAGGUUACAGAAUCGGAGGUGGGCCUCUUGGUGAAGGACUUGACCCACUUUACCCUGGCGGAGCGUUUGACCCGUUGAACUUAGCGGAGGAUCCAGAGGCGUUCUCGGAAUUGAAGGUGAAGGAGCUCAAAAACGGUCGUCUUGCGAUGUUCCCAAUGUUUGGAUUCUUUGUUCAAGCCAUUGUUACCGGUAAAGGUCCGAUAGAGAAUCUGUUCGAUCACAUUGCAGACCCUGUGGCUAACAACGCUUGGGCUUACGCCACCAACUUUGUCCCCGGAAAAUAGAGUUUGAUCGGAUAAUUUAUGUAAAUUAUAUCUUUUAAGAAUUUGUCAAUGCACUAUAUUCUUUCUUUGGUCAGAAAUUCUCGUUAGCUAUAGCAACUUAGCACAAACACGAAAAGUAUACGUUUAAAAGGCUAAAACAUGGACGAAAAUAAAAAAAUGCCAGCACAAUCGAAGAAUAAGACACUGAACUAAAUUAUCAUGGAUAAUCAUGGAUUCAAUGGGCCAGGCUAAUGAUAAAAAAAAACAGAGAGAAACGUAUUAAGUUUUGAAAAUUUGAGGCUAUAUCCACUUUCCAUGGCUUAAAAAGCAUAACUUUUUGGGGGCGGUGAAUGUGAAGUGACUCAUCUACGAGAAGGAUAAAUCCAAAUAUUUCAAAAAUCUUAACCAAACCCGUAAAAUUGUGCUCUUUGUAGUUUGUCAUCUAUCAAAAACUACUAUCUCUAUACUAUUAAAAGAGAAGUACAAAUGAAAAUGGGUCGGGUUAAAAUCAGAAAAUUGACCCGAAAUUCUGAAAUCGGAUCUUUGAAAUUUUUUUGGAAUAUAAAUUCAAAUUAAUAAUGAAAAAUCGAAUUAAAAUCAAAUAUUUAUGGAAAUCAAAUAAAAUCUGAUUGUACUUAUGAUAACUAAUAAUAAAAGCAUAUUCCGAACAAUAUUAUACAUUAAUCACGUAUAAUAAAUUUGUUCAUAUAUUUUUGGGACUAAUUCCAUAACAAUCAAUGUUUUUGUCAUUAAUUUCGCUCAUUUUAGCCAAUUAUCAUUAAUUGAAAGAUAUUUUACUUGCUUCUAAAGAUUUCUAGAAAAUUUAUCACAAAUAACCCAUCUGUUUUAUAAAUUAAAUUGAUAUUUUUAUUUUGGUCGUGUAAAUUAAAUAGAUAUUUUUAUUUUGGUCGUGUAAAUUAAAUAGAUAUGAAAUCCAUGUAACUAAUUUUAAUUUAAUUAGAUUAAAUCAAAAUUAUGAUAUUUUCAUACCUAUAACUUACCAAAGAAGUUUAAUUUUCAAUUUAUAAAGAUUUCUUGAAUAUGAUUUUAGAAUUAUUCAACAAGAUGAUAAGUAUUUAUUAAAUUUUGUGAAUCAUGAAAAAUAAUAAUUAAUUUUCAAUCAUUAUACUUCAUCUUUCAAUCUAUCAUCUAACAAAUAAGAUACAUAUUCUAUUAUUUCUAUGUCCAAACUUCAUUUUGUUGUAUGACUAAAUAAUAUUCCAAUUAGAACUGUCAAAGCGAGUUGAUUCGUCCCGUUAAAUCCGUUUUGCGAUAGACAAAAAAUAUUUUGACUUGUAGUUAGUCGGUCCACACGACCCGCAGGUAGCAUAUAUGAAAUACAAACCCGUCCCGCGAAUGUAUGCGGAUUUGCGGGAUUGUCCAUGGAUUUUGUUUAAAUAAUUUUAAAGUAACCAAAAUUUAAAAUACUACUAAAAUAAAUAAAUAAAUAAAAAUACUAUUAAAAGUUUGUUUAAAUUACCACAUGUUGAAUAAAUUACAAUUUUAUCAAUAAAUACUAAUAUGCGGGCUGAUCCGCCAACCUGCGGAUGAAAACCGAUUAAACCUAUGACCCACUGCGAAUUAAUCCAUGUGGCCCACUUAUUUGCGGGUUUAAUAUAUUUUCCCAAAUCUGCCCCAUAGUGAGAUGAUGUGGGCUCGACCCGCGGUUUUUGACCUAUUUUGACUGCUUUAAUUCCCAUGAAUCGUCUAAUUUUAGAAUUUUAAAACACAAAAUUCUAUUUUUUAAAUCAUAAUUAAUACGAUGAGUAUAUUUAUAAACAAUUUUACAUUUUCUCUACAAUUCGUUAUUAUGAAUAUUUAUAAUUAUACUACACGAUUCGUUCUACUAAAAAACACACACAAUAUUAAACGCAACGUUUGUAAACCAAUAUUCUCUCGCGGUGAACCGCGGGUCCGAUCCUAGUCCAGUAACAUAUGACAAUUGUUUGUGUAUAUAUGUUCAUCAUAUAUGACUAUAGUUCGUGCUGAAAUAUACUUUUAUAUUUUUGAAACAAUAUAUUUUCUAGACUCCUCUUCUUUUUUUCACAUUUUUCACAUAAUACUAGGUAAGAACCCGUACCAUGCAAGGAUAAGUUUUAUGAUAUAACGAUUUAAAAAAAAAAUCAAAGUUUUAUAUGAAUCUCGAGAUGUCAAAACUAAAUUUUCUAAAUGCGCUAAAAUAUUUUGAAUUAAAAUAAUAUUGUAUAAAUACCAUGUAAUAACACGACUUUUUAAUCUAUAAAUAAAUUUACAAGUUAAAUAUCAAAUAUUUUAUUGAUUUAUAUUAAUAAAAGAAAAUUGUAUUUACAUCAUUCAUAAAUUUUGACUUAUAGAUUUGAUUUAAAUUUAAAUGUUUAUAAUAUAUGAAAGAAUUUUUCGGUGUUAAAAUGCAUAUACUAUAUGUUUGUAUUGUUUAGUUUUUUCAAUUAAAAAAAAAGAACACAAUGCAUUUAAUAAAAAAAAUUUAUAUAGAAUUUUUCUUACAAGUAAAGAUAUCUUAUAAUAAUCAUAUUAUGUAUACAUAAAUCUAUGAGAACUGAAUUUUGAAGAAAAAAGGAUAAAAUCAAGUAGCAUUUGAUAAAUAUUAUAUAUAUAUAUAUAUAUAUAUAUAUAUAUAUAUAUAUAUAUUAUUACUUAACGAAUAUUUUCUGAUACUUUUUGAUGAUGUUGUGUUUACCCAUAUAUAAUUUUUACUUUUCAAUAAUAAUAUAACUUUUUUUGUUCUCCGAUAGCUUGUUAACAUUUUUAAUUUAUCCAAUCAUAUACUUUAUGCAUAUCAACCGAUUUUCUUAUUCCACCUUCUUUCUUUAAAUAGAUUCCAUCUUCUCUGGCUCUCCAAUCCCAAUCGGCUCCAUUAUCAUAACCAGUAUAUUGCUUAAAUGCUGUAAAAUUUUGAUAGUGUUUAUAAUUAGGUCCUUGUUUCAAUGUACACAUGAAACGAGUCGUACCCCAAAUGUUAGCACGAAAAGAAUUUUCAUAUUGCUGUCCGAUUGAUAGUACUUUUGGACCUAUUACGUCAUCUUUGGAAUAACACCUCAUCCAGAGGAGUUUCUUGAAUUGGAGUUCGUUCGUGAUUGUGAUUCCAGUGCCGGAUACAUGGCCAAGAAUGUAAAUGCUAAAAACAAAUAGAAAUACUGAAAGGUUUUUCAUUAUUUUAUUUUUAUUGUUCUGGUUAGAUGUUUAGAUGUUUUGUUUUAUUAACUUGGUUUUUGUGUUUCUGGUACUAUAUAUACACACACAUAUGUAUUACUAUUGUUGGCACAAGAUAUCCUUCUGUAUUUGUUCCAAGUUAUAACAGAUAUCAUAUGAUAUCUUACAUGUGAAGAGGCCGAAGUAUACAUAAAUCUAUCGGAAUUGAAUUUUGAAGAUAAAAGGAUAAACCAAGUUAACAUUUAUGGAAAUCAAUUAUAACCAUCAAGAAAAAAAAUUAAAAUAUAAAAAAUACAAUUUCUUAUUGAUAAAUAUAUUUGUUUAUAUAUUUUUUUAUUACUAUAGACAGUCAGAAAUCCCAACUGAUAUUAUGAAUUCAAAUAAAUUUAUUAUCUAAAUUAUAACACAUUUACUCAAUUUUAAAUUUUGAUUCCAAAGAUAUAAACAAUCAAAACUUAUGAAGUGUCAACACUCCCAAAGAAAACAAAGCCAUCAUUAUGGGAGCUGCCGUAGUUAAGUUUAUCAUAUUCGUGAGUUAAAUCAUAGAAAUCGCAAGCAUAGCCAAUAGGCAAUAACUAACAAGCGAGAUAGCAUGAGAGAACACUAUCCUCUUGGGUUUUAUGUGUUUGGCUCACCCCACAAGAUCUUCCCUCCCACAUGGCAAAACCAUAGCCUCUAUAUAUCUCUUCCACGUAAAUUAAGUUUGUGGAAAUCUAAAAUCAACCAAUAAGAACUCGCUGACGUGUCCCUUUGACAAUCUUCGCCAAAAAUGAACAUUCUACUAUAAAAACGAAGUUCCAAAUCACUAACAUAACACAACAACAACAUCUCAUCUCACUUAUUACUUCUUUUCUUUGUGUUCUUGUUUAGAAGAAGCAAUGGCCACUUCAGCAAUCCAAUACUCUUCUUUCACCGGCCAAACAGCCCUAAAGCCAUCCAACGAUCUCCUCCGCAAGGUCGGAGCCUCCAAUGGUGGCGGCCGCGUCAUCAUGCGUCGUACCGUCAAGUCUACUCCUCAGAGCAUCUGGUUCCAACCCAAAUCUCUCUCUCUCUCUCACUUAUCUUUGUUAUUCUUGAAAGAGAUUUUCCAUUUAAAUACAAAUGCCUGCAAUUCAUUGUGGGUUUCAUUUUGAGUUUUUUUUUGCUUUAGAAGUAUUUUAAACAAUGAAAACUGAAUCUACUAUAGAUUGGUUUGGGUUCAAGAUUUCACUUUCCAUUUUUAAAAAAGUUGAAAAUACUUUGAAAUAUGUCUUUCUUUAUUCGAAUUCGGUUUCGGCUUUUUGGAUCCAUUUUAAUCAUAUUAUACUCAUUUCAAUUUUUCUAUUGGUACUUUUGGUUUGGUUUUGGAUCGAAUUAGACUGGUUUAUCUGGACUAAACAAUCCGUCAGUUUUUGUUUCCUCAUUUUUAGUAUAGCUAAUUAGCAAACCAUCUAAUUAGUAUCCAACAAAAAAACUUGUGACAGGUACGGACCAGACCGUCCCAAAUACCUAGGACCAUUCUCGGAAAACACACCAUCAUACCUAACCGGAGAAUACCCUGGAGACUACGGCUGGGACACGGCCGGUCUCUCAGCCGAUCCAGAAACAUUCGCUAAGAACCGUGAGCUCGAGGUCAUCCAC